Pteropus alecto (black flying fox) is the source of this 2031-nucleotide long non-coding RNA. RefSeq lists it as uncharacterized. The transcript is spliced from 2 exons. The record is from RefSeq and is a predicted model, not a curated record. NCBI's taxonomy places the organism in Eukaryota, Metazoa, Chordata, Mammalia, Chiroptera, Pteropodidae.
UUAUAAUUUAACAUCUGUAUAUUCUAUUGUGUGUUUACCACCCAAAGUCCAGUUUCCUUCAGCUUUGUGUGUGCUUUUUGAUGAUUUCUUUUGUCAUAUUGAACAUGAUUCAGUGAGGUAAAUUAGAAUAGGAAAAGAUAAAUUAUCAUUUAAAUGAUUAAGAAGUGAAAUUUUUUUCAAAGUCAUAUAUAUGGUUGUAUUUGUCUACGAUUUAUGCUUUCAUUUAUCAAGGAAUGUUUAUUGAGCAUCUUCUGUGUAGUAGGCAUUAUCUUAGGCUUUGGGAAUCAUAGAGAUGAACAAGACAGACAAUUCCCCAUACUCAUCAUUCUCACUGGGAGGGGAGGUUAGAGAGUAAACGUAAAGAAAAAAUAAUUUCUGAUAUCACUGACUUCCAUGAAGGAAAUGAAAUAGGGCGUUGCACAUAAAGAGCAUACGUUAGAAUGUUUUAGUCUGCAUUUAACAGAAAACUUCACUCAAACUGGUGUCAAUAGUAAGGAAUUAUAUUCUCUCACAAUUGGAAAGUGGGCUGGGACCAGGCUUGAUCGCAUCUGCAGUUUGAGAAUUUCAUCAGGGAUCUGGUUCCUUCUGUCUCUCCACCCUCUUUCCUCAGUAAGAAUUUUAUUAUAAGGUUUGCUUCCCCUCCUGAAUGCCUACCAGAAUAGACCCAACAUCUCAAAGAAGGAGGAGGAUUGUCUCUUUUUUUUCUCUGUUUUAGGAGCUAGGAGACCUUUUCCAGAAGUUCCUCAAACUAGACUAAAGCUACAGAGGAAUGCAGUUCCCGUGUUUGCUUUAGAUUCGUUGUAGAACUGAAGAGUUAUAUACCUUGACCACCAUAAAGAGUGGCUGCUAGGGGCAUACGGGUCAGCUUGCCAAAAUGAAAAUAUCUGUGUGUCAGUAGAUUCUUUGUAACCCAAGACUAAUACUGAACAAAGGAGAAAUAAUGAUUAGAGAAGGUGACAAGUAGAGCUUGAGUAAUGGAAUAUAUUUUAUUUAUUAACUGUAACUAUAAAUUUGUCAUUCACGUCUUAGGGUUUCAGCAUAUUAAAGCUUCUGUAUUAUACUUUUGUUUUCUUUCACAUGUUUUAAGUGCUAAAUAAUAACCGAAAUUAAAAUCAUAGGAUUUUAAAAAUUGAAAUGAAUCUUAGGGUUUUCUCUUUUAAAUCUAUUCACUUUUUAGAACUUUAGAAUGAAUAAAUGAAGUUAUCAAUUUGUGCUGGGCUUUAGGAGUCCUGAUUAAAAGUCCUUGAGAUAGACAUGUUUUUAUUCCUAUGUCCUUAAGCUUUUACAAUUUGGAGGACUUCAUUUCUCUUCUCACAAAAAGUGGAGAUGGUUCAAUAUUCGUUAGUGAAAGUGCUUAGCUCAGCCUGGAGUGCAUAGUGGAUGUUAAUAAAUGUUUGUUGACCAAAAUCUUUCAUAGCUAGAAUAUCCAUGCUCAAGAUUAAUUUAAGUGUCACUAAUUAUGUUAAGUAAAGAUGGUACAUCUUAAAUUGGCACUUGCUUUAUUUUUCACUCUUCUAGUCAUUCAUUUAUCCAACCAAUAUUUAUUGGGUAUUUACCAUAUGUCAGGCAUUGCAGGAUACAGAGAUAAGAAAGAUGUCAUCCCUGCUCAAGAACCCAAGUGGGGAGAACUAGCUAGGAUUAUGACAGCGUGGAUUUGCAGCAGGUACCCAGGUGUACUCAGGGUGAGAGCCUAACCCAGCCUUGGGUCCCCAACAGGGUUUGCGUUUGUAAAGGAACUUUGUGUAAUUAUGAAUUCCCAUCGGCUUUUCUGAUAGUUAUGGCCAUUGGCAGUGCACUGUAUUUGAAAAAGAAAUAAACUUUCAAGAAGUCUUGAGGCUCUUGUGUUUCAUUUUUAACAGGAGAUGCCCGAUUAAGGUGAAGGCGAGGGAUGGGAGCAUUGUUUUCCCUGCUGCUUUUAUCUUUAAAACCUGUUGAAAUCUAGAAUCAAAUCUUUUUGCUAGGGUGCCCCAUAGCACUCAAUAUUGUGUUUAGACAGCCCUUGUUAUUUUUAAUUGAAAUUUUAUUUCUCCA